This 20339-nucleotide long non-coding RNA is filed under the name Vitis vinifera (wine grape). Its description in RNAcentral is "long non-coding RNA (VVIN_LNC001719)". Lineage: Eukaryota; Viridiplantae; Streptophyta; Magnoliopsida; Vitales; Vitaceae. The record is from RNAcentral.
UCCGACUUCCUCGGCCACUUUCCGGCCUCCGACGUCCCUCCUCCUCCCUUCGUCUUUCCCGUAGCUCCGCCUCCUCCUCCUCCUCCUCCUCAUCUCUCCCUCUCUGCUGUCGACGACUUCGACUCCGUCUCCAUCUCCGAUGCUCUGCUGCCUCACAACUCCGACCUCGGCAACAGUUGCAGCAGCGGCGGCUCCUCGAGUUCCCUCACCACGAGUUACUCCACUCAGAGACCGAGUUUCAUCCAGAGAAGUGUGAGCAGCCACUCGCUUCAGCACAACGGCCGCCACCCCCACCCCAUUUCGCUGGUGUCGGAGUUCCUGGAGUCAGAGUCGCCUGUGAGGAGAGUUUACAGCACCGGCGAUUUGCAGGUGAGCUUCUCAAAUCACAUAAAUACCCACGCUCAUUGUCUGUAACUACUUCACGCCAUUGAUCUCCUUUAUCAAAGCUCCGAGGUUGCAACCCGACAAAGAUUUAGAUGCAACUCAGCCACAUGCAACUUCAUGUAGACCCAAAACUACCAUAAUUGAAUAUCUUCAUUUAGUACAACACUCUGAUAUUAUUGCAUGUUUUUUCCUCUAUUAUUCAUAUAUUUUGGUACGUAUAAAUUCUAGAAUUACUAGUAAUUAAUAAAAGGGUUCAUUUGUUUUAAUCUUGUUAAUAGAGAAUUAACAUGAUGCAACACCAUCAUCGACCCGAAAUCUCCAUAUCGAAUGACACUAGUAUCAUUGAAGGUAUGAUGACCAAGGCCUCUCGAUACAGUCCGGAGGAGAAGAAGGAGAGAAUAGAGAGGUAUAGGAGCAAGAGGAACCAGAGAAACUUCAACAAGAAGAUUAAGGUUUAACUUUGUUCUAAAUCUAAAUCAAGGCUUCUUCCACUAGAGCAUUAAUGCUAUAUAAAAACAGUACCCUCUUUGUAAUUUUACUUGAUUUGUUUCAAAAGUGUUUCAGUAGAGAAAAAGAAAAGGCCACUUGGUAUUAAAAGUAAACAAUUUUCCUGCUUUGCUUUUCCUUUAUAUAUAUAUAUAUAUAUAUAUAUAUAUAUAUAUAGUAGUUGAAGAAGUUGAUUUUGUUUGUUGAAUCAGUAUGCGUGUAGGAAGACAUUGGCAGACAGUCGGCCGCGCAUCAGAGGGCGGUUUGCGAGGAACGAGGAAAUUGAGAAGGGUUCGCAGAGUCAGUGGAGUAACUUAGGAGGGGAGGAAUGCGAGGAAGAUGAUGAUAAUUGGACCAAUUUUCUGGAUGCAUUUUCAGCGAAUCUAGUGCCCUAAAGUUGCCGUGGAAGCUAAGCUUCCUGUAUGUUGUAAUGUGGUGGCUAAUGUUUUAGUGUGGCAAAUUCCUAUUUGUAGCAGUGAUAAUGCAUUUGUAGUCUUGUGAUGAAGCUUAAAGCUCAGGUGAUGUAAAUAUGGUUAAUGACAUAAUUAUUAAUGACAAAUUUUGCCUUCAAAAGGACUUGGACAAGGCAUGAGAAUGUAUCAUUUUCCUUGGUAUUCUGUGUUGCACUACACCCAGAAAUUAACUACUGGACUGAAAUUCAAAGGGAAUAAGAGUAUGUUUUCCAAACCAAACCUUUGAAAAGUAUGGUUGUGGAAUGAGAAAGGAGAAGAAAAAGUACAUGACCAUGACAGCCAUGGUGCCAAUCACCAGUAUUGCCAUGAGAGUGACACAACCAACUAUCGACUUUGGCCUCAACCAUGGAUGCCUACUACUGCAACCAAAUAUCAAAUAUAGGAUAGGAGUAGUGUGUAAAAUUCGGCUGGAUGGGAAUGGGAGCUAAACCUAGGUUGGUUGUGAAUUGUGAUGGGGAAUGUCAAAAGGAGGGCAUUUUGUGAUGCGAUUGUCAUGGAGAGAGAGAGAUUGGACAGGCACAAAGAGCCUAGUGAAUGUGAGGAUUGAAGAGUGUGGCACACUGCUCUUUUGCGAGGAGAUAAUGAUGACCAAAAAUUCAAUCAUCCCUGGGAUCCAGUUUGGGUUAAAUGAAAUAAUGAGGGUUUGAAUUUACUCACCGACUGGAUUCUCACAACUCACAAUGUGCAUUCGUUAAAACCACGAAAGAGACAAAGAUGGGAGGAGAAAAAAGAGUCCCUACUUUCUUUGAUUUUUAAGCCACGUAUCUUUGAUAUUGCCGGAAUCGCUCACACUCACUUUGGGCUCCAAAGUCAAAAAUCACCUCCCCCACAAGUCAACUCCUCUCAUAUAUCAAAACUACUAUUUUGGUGUGAAAUGAGAAGAUUAUGGCCCUAUAUAUAUGCAAAGAGAUAAGAGAUAGAAAGACAAGAGCACUGUUUUUGGGUAAAAUUUAAAUAUCAUAAUGCUCUGCAGCUAUGGCUUUUGCACGCCAUGCCUUAGAAGUCUUCCAUUAUUGAAUGCUAUGCUAUGAACAUCAAUCUUCAACCCCUUUUUCUCCAAACUUUCUCUGCUCUGCUCUGAUUUCAAGUUUUCUUUUGAUCUUUGAUCGUGCAGUUGAUUUUUUCAGUUUCCGUGUACUUUGACUGUUCAGUCUCGAGAAUCUGGUUGGGGGGCCUAGACAUUGUAUUAAAGAAUGCUGUUAAACGGUCCACUAGAAGCAUGUAAAGCAACAGCAAAUGACAGUGCAGGGUACACACAAAAGAUGGCAAUAGCCCACUACUGUUCUACUCCUUUAAAAGUGUGGGUUUGGCCUCGUUUAAAAUCAUACAUCUUAAUCUCUCUUUAGAGCGAUCACUUGGUGCUUCAUGUUACUGAAUGAUGAUGUUGAAGCUUAAAAUAAUAUGGCAUGAUUGGAGUCCUAAUGGUAGAAUUAGAAUCUGAAUCCAGACUUUCUUUAUACAAAGGCUAUUGUUCAAAAGGCAACCCCUAGAGGUUGGGAGAGCGGCUAUGUUGAUUCCUGUCGGCCGGCGGUGGGUUACCCACUUGAGUUAUUAAUGAAUGGCCUCCAAGGAUUAAAAAAAUUUAUAAGCUUAGGGCAGUUUGAAUUAUGAUCCCUUUUUUUAAUCCAAGGGCUCCAAAUUUUUGUAUCAACACAAAUGAUGAAUUCUUUAGGGGAUUGACCAGGUCUUGUAGACUGCAAAAUUUCACAGGAUUUGUCACCUUUCUCAAAUGUGACCAAAAUCUAAGUGGAUAUCCAUUGUUAACAAAGAUAUAAGGUAGUGUUUGUUUUUUUAACUUUUUGCUGAAAAUAAUUUGUUUUCAGAAUUUAGGUUAUUUGUUUUUUUACUUUUUAUGACUUAUUAUAAACUUUUUACUAAAUAAAAAAAAUCAAAAUAUAUAGCUUUUUCUAAAUAGAAAAAAUGACAUAUUAGUUUUUCUUUACUUUUUAAUACUUAAUAGAAAUAAAAUAUUACAAAAACAAAUAACCCAAUAUUUAAAACUAUUAAGCAUUAAGGUUUUAUUUAAAAUUAAGUAAAAAAACAAACACCACCUAAGUCAUACAACAAAAACAGUGACGGAAAGAAAAACUCAAAAGAAAUUAUAUGAAUAUUCUCAACUAUUUUGUAUAUGCCGAACAAAAACGAUGCUUGAAGAGGGAUCCUAAUACAUCUAUAAUAUCGUAGUCUUGUUUCUUUUUCGGUGAGCUUUCUUCUUGAAAAGAACUGGACUCACCAAGCGCUUGAAAGGAAACAGAAGUGCAGCCCUACGCGGUGUCCUCUGUUUUGCUUUGGCUUUACCUGUAUUCAGUAGACAUAGGAACAUGGUAAGUAGUAGGUAAGUGAAUUUGAAUUGGGAGGAAUAGUUAGGGCUUGAAGUAUAUUUCAUGAGUUCAGUGACCUAUAUAAGCUUAAAUUUGCAACCAAUGAUGGGAGUUGCAGGGAUGAGAUGAAUCAAAUGAAUGGUAGAAUUAAGAAACAAGAAUAUUGGUCAAAUGGAACAUUGGUGGAAACAUUUGGAAAUGUAAAAAUACAUUUUUAUGCCGUCUUUACCAAUAAUUGAAAUAAGGAAAUUUGAAUGAGAUGGGGAAAUGGGAUAGGAGAGAAUAAGAAAGUUAAAUCAAGGUGGUUGCAUUCAGUUUAGACAAGAAAAUCACAACCAUCCAGCAGGAAGGUAGUCUUUAAAAAUCAAACUAAAAUUCCUGCACCCCAAGCUGCUAUACCAGGAGCAUAAACAAUUCAAUUUAUGAAAAUCAUUCAGAGAACAGCAAUAUCAGAAUACUGUUGGCAUAUCAUCCAAUCCCUGGAACAUGAAUUAGAGCCAGUACCUGAUAUAGAUUCAUUGAUAGAAGGAUACUCAGUUUCAGAAUCAUCAGCUUGUUUUUGCGCUUCCACAAUCAUUUCGUCCAUUAGCUCAUGAUUUGCAACUGAAGAAUCAUUGCUGCCUUUCAGCUCAUCAUAGCACUCCACAGAGGGAGUUCCAUCAGAAAGUAAAACUGAAUCAUCUACAGGUUCCCUAAAUUCUCUUUCUGAGGAAUUGUCAUGCAAAAGCACAUUGUUUGAGGCCAAAGAUAAACUUGCUUCAUUUUUCAUAUCAGUGUCAACUAAAACUUCAUCCACUGUGACACUUCGUGCCCCCAAAACCACAUCAAAACCUUUUGCAUUCCUAGAUUCUUCAUUCUGUAAAACAGAAAGAUUCACAUCCCUGGUUUGGGUGGGGACUUCAAAUUUACCAUCAGCAUCAGCAUUACACACAGCAUCACACUCAAUGUCCAUUAACACAGUGCACAAUGUUAAAUUAUCAUCUGGUAACACAACAUUUGCUUCAGAACCAGCUGUGCACUCUUCUGAUUGCAAAUUAUCUAUUUCUGUUCUAACUGGGGAAAAAUCUACAAGGCCAUUUGAAAUAUUAGGUUCUUCCUCAGUGAUGGUAGUAUGUGUUUUAAUUUCUUCAGAAUCAAUAUCAGCUUUUGAAGUAUCAUUAGGCGAAAAUGAUUUUUUAGAAUCUUCAUGACCAGAUAUUUGACAUUUUGAUGGGGUAUUAUAUGAUGAUGUCUGUUCUGUUUCAGGAAAAAGUUUAAGCAUGUCUGGUUGUUCUGAUCCUCCAUUAGUUGGAACUGGUGCCCCAAUUUUCCCAUCAACAGACAUAGAGUUUUUAAUAUUAUCCACUGGCUGCAACACAGACUUUGUUCCUGAUAACAAAUCCUUUAGUUGCAACCCAUGCGGUGGCAUGUUGUCCACAAUUGAAGCAAAAUCAAUGGCUUUCACAGUCUUGGAUACUUUACCAGCAGCAGAGAAAGAUUUUGCCAUAUCAUCUAAGAGCAGAUCACCUUCACCACUAGAGAUGGGGUCCCAUUUAAGCCCAUUGCCAGACCAAGGUUCAUUGGAGUCAAAUUCACUGGAUGGUAUUAAUUCAACUCUGAUGGCCUCCUUGUAAAAUUGCUUUUUCCUUAAAGCAUUAGCUAUAAGAGAUCUGCAAGACAUGUGAAUGGUCAAUGUUUUAUGCAUAUCAAUCAUCAGCUAAAUGUCCUAAAAUGCUUUAGGUUUUCUGCAUACCUACAAUUUUUAGAAAUAGCUGCUUUAGCACGUUCCAUGGAGAGACCAAGCAAAGAAGAUAAAUUUGCAACAUCAUAUGGCCCUCUAAGCUCAUUUACAGAAGGGGCAGCACUUGAGAAGAUGAGAUUGUUUCCUCGAGUCCAAUCCACCAACAACUGGAAGCUUAGGUAGUGUGUUAGAUGGCUAGUUAAUACAUGAUUCAUCAGCAUCUCACAAGACAGAACAACUUGACCUUCAGGUAUAGGAAUAUGCUUACUCUAAUGUGUCCAAGAAGCAAUUAACAUAUACAGGCUGUGCAUACAACAUGAAAAAAUAAAUAAAUAAAUAAACAAUUUCAGCUUCUUGACAUGUCUAUGGAGAGGUCCUACACAUACUGGAUAGUUCAAAACCUACCCCUAUAGACUGGUCACAUAAAAUACAAACACUAAAUCAAGCCCCCCAUGCUGUAUAUCAAUUGGCUAACAGCAUAGUCUAAUCGUGCCAAAUUAUUGUCAGGGCUAUAGGUUUAAAUCCGUGUGUACAAGAAUGGGGAUUCUAUUGUAUUAGAAGUAGAAAUCAGAUAGCAAAUAUUGCAAAAAUGAGAUAUCCAACAAUUAUUUUUACUACCCGGCAUCGAUAAUCUGUAAUAUUCACUCUAAUCCUCAAAGACAUCCCUCCAGUAUUAUAGUUUUUGCAAAUAAGGCAAAAUCAUUGUAAGCUAAGACCAACACAAAAGUAACCUAAUCUUGAGUAUGCAUUGCCAGUUCAUUCAAAACUAAUUCCGAAAGAAAAAAGGUUGGAGUUAAAAUUUUGAAUACCAUUGCAAGAUUGCUGUUGAAAAUAACUAAAAAUAUAAAAUCAUGAAGAAAACAAUAGAAAAUUAAAGAUAAAAAUUAUUUGAAGAGCAUAUAGUGUUGUCUGCAUGAAGGAAUAUUAUGGAAGAAGAAAAAUAAUUUAUAUAUGUUAGAGAUCAACCCAUCAAUAUGAAUUAUAAAAAUCAAAUUACAAAGCCCAAAAUUUGACAAGUGGCAAAGAAAUUCUUCAAUUCUCACCUUGGCAUUCGAUAUCACUUGUUUCCUGGAUUGAACAUCGGAUAUAAGAUUAGAGUAUGUGAUUUCAAAAUACACCCCGCGCUGCAUAUCACAAAGGCAAACGUCAAAUGCCAUUCUGUAAUAUAUUUCUCACUCAAAACAUCAAAUUGUGAAACGGUAGAAAGAAAACCAGGGCAAGAGUAGUGAAGUGAAGAGGAUACCUUAAUUGCAGCUUUAACCAUGGGAAGCUUCAAUCGGAACGGCAGCUUCUCCGAGAAAUCAAUCGCGAUUAAAUCUACCUAAGUGAUUGAAGUAAAACAACAAUAAUGCUAUUUAAUUUAGCACAAAGUUUCAAUUGAAAUUCAACAGAGCACAAAGACGGUUGAACUUGAAUCCAAUGCAACUAUUUUUUAAACCAAAACACAACUUUCUUUUUGUUUUCACAGAUGAGACUAAGCCACCAACCUCAGAAACCUGACAGGCCUGAUCGAAGGCGUUCUGGUUCAAAGGCCGAACAGCGACCAAAUCGUAGGACUUGAGAACGGGGUUGCCAGAGUUGAGAGCGGAGGCCUGAGGGGAGGAGUCAACGGCGACAGUGAGGCGCGUGUACUGACGGAAGGGAGAGGAGAGAGGAACGCCGAGAAGGCUGCGGUGGAAGCGAACGGAGGAGGAGAGAGAUGGGGCCAGUUUGAGGAGAGAAGAGAGAGAGAGUGGGGGUAUUGAGCAGGAGUCUGAGUCCGACAUCACGCCCUUGAUCUUGCGGUUGUAGGCAACUCCGCUGUACCCUAGCUCCAUGGCCUUCACCACCACCUUUAUCCGACUGCUCUUGUCGCCGGCCGCCGUUGUCCCAUCGUAGGGGAUGUUAAGGUCGAAGAAUCCCAUCCUCCUCUGAGUUUCAGUUUUCUCCGUUUCUACGUUGAUAUACUUUACUGGUUAGGGCUGCAGCCUGCAGUUUGCAGAUGCAUGGGCUUUGGGUUUCAAAAUCAGGCCCAAAUUAGGCAGGCAACCAUGUGCAAUGGGUUAAUUUAAUUAUUAGGUUAGGCGAAGUCCAGACCUUUCUAGGCCCAAAAGUAGGCCCGUAAGAGUUAACCCAUUUUGGCAGUCUAAAUACUCCCGCGCGCGCACUGCCCAAAAGAAACACAAAAGUAUUUGAAACUAACGUCCACGUCAUCGAUCCGAGUAGCUUCCAAUCCUUUAUCUGAACCGUCCAAAUGAAACCAUGGACGACCGUAAACGCUCCCACAAACCACCACAAGGAUCAACCCCAAAUCUAAUCAACCAAAGCGUCCCGCUAUAAAUUCACAACUACCUGCUGCCGAUUGCCAUCGAACCCUUGUACUCCACCAAAUCUCUUGGAUUCAAAUUUUCUCAGUAAGUAUCAAUCUCUCUCGAAAUUCGCAGCUCAUCUAUCUAUCUAGGGUAUUGCAGUUGUCUCUAAUCUUUUGGGCUAUUAUUAUUACAGGUUUGAGCUUAAACAAUGUCGGGGCGUGGGAAGGGAGGCAAAGGAUUGGGAAAGGGAGGGGCAAAGCGACAUCGUAAGGUGCUCCGUGAUAACAUCCAGGGUAUCACGAAGCCAGCCAUACGUAGGCUGGCUAGGAGAGGAGGUGUGAAGCGUAUCAGCGGUCUGAUCUAUGAGGAGACCCGUGGUGUGCUGAAGAUCUUCUUGGAGAACGUCAUUCGGGACGCCGUCACCUACACGGAGCACGCUCGCCGGAAGACCGUGACUGCCAUGGACGUCGUCUAUGCUCUCAAGAGGCAGGGCAGGACUCUGUAUGGGUUUGGUGGUUAAGGUUUCACCUGCAAAAGUCUUGCUGUCAAGAAAAUUUAGAAAUUAUGUCGGUUUCUCGUUUGGGAAUCUAGGGUUUCAUAUUGGGGCUUCUGUAAUUACAGAUGUUUAGAUUUUCUUAUUGUAGCUGUUUUGUAAUCCGAAGCAUGAAUUACAAUUUCACUAGUAUUAUUGUAUAUUAUCGGUUCUUUCUUUCCUCUUUUGCUAUUUUGUGGUUUCUGCUUAAAAUUUGAAUGUGUUGGGAAAGGAGUGGCAAUGGUAUGAUUCGAAAGUAGCCUUCCGAUACAGGCCGGAAGGGCUUGAAUUGGUGGGCAAUGUUGCUGUUUUUGGGCGUCGUCAACCCGUAUGCAAUUAAUUGUCUUGUAUGUCUGCACUUUUGAAAUUGCAAGUGCCGCAUGAAUGUUCCACUCGCUUGCUCUGAUAAUAAUCGAUUGGCAUAUGCGCAGACAUGGUGGAGAAUGGAUUUAGUGGGUGAAAUUCUUGUGCCAAGGAAACAUUGCGGGCAGUACAGGGUCCAGGUUUCGAAAUGCGGGCAUGAUGAAACCAACCCCCACAGAGGCUGCAAGCUCACGAGUGACUUGUUGUGUGCGGGCAUUUGAAUUAAUUAGAACCUGGAUUCCCGAAAUAUAAAGGUAAACACAGAAAACUAAACCAUGCAUCAAGAAUUUUAAAGAUUAAAGAGCAGGCCCAACUGGUUAUUUUGCUCAUUUAAAAAUUCCAUUACAAAACUAGUUUGGUUUAGCAGUCUAAUCAAAUCAUUCCAAGGUCCAAACAAACUCUCAAUCAUUCUAAAAAGGAUGAGGGUUAAAAGUUGGAACCUAGAAAAUUCCAGAACUCCAUUAAGGCCCUGUAAAAUAGCAGUCUUUUCAGACCACAAAUCCACACUAUUGGCCUUUUAUUCUGCCUUGUGCUUUGAAUAUCUUCUAGCAUCCGAUGACCGCAACCCACUGGUACACCUUCCCACAAAUUUGAGUAGCUCAUCAAUCAGAAUUACCGGGAAUGCCACAACCAACACCAAGAGCCAUUCAUUGAGGCUGAGGGCAACAAUGCCAAAAAUUUGUGCGAGGAAUGGCACAUACACGAUCAAGAAGUGCAGGGCAAAAGAGAUGGACAUGGCAACGAGGAGCCAGGGAUUGACCCAUGGGGGCAUUGUCAAAAGGCUCCCAUCCUCGGAUAGGGCAUUAAGGGAAUUGAACAUCUCUAUGGCAACCAGGACAGAGAGGGAAAGAGUCAUGGCUUUGAUUUUUCCAGUCUGGAAGUAGUCACAUGGAUUUGCAUCAAAACUGAACACUUGCGCCCCUGCUGUGAAGGGUGAUGCCGAGAAACCCUCCCAGGAAGGGCAUUGACCCCAGUUAGCAAGUUGGGAAUAGGUAACAAGACUGUGGCCAUCUCCACUCAAAUCAAUCCCCAGGAAUGUCCCAUGUGUGUACCAUAUGAUGAAUAUUCCCACAGUUGCUAUUCCAACAUAGAGCCCAAUCACCUGUAUCAUAUUAGGAGUUAAGAUUGAAGUCAUAUAUAUCCAAGCGGGUCUUUUUUCUGGAAAAAGAACUAAAUCUAUGCAAAGAGUUAACUUUGAUUAUACAAGGAAAAAUGAUUACCAGAUAGCGGAAUAAAAUCCAGGGAGUGAUCAAUGAAUCAUCACUUCUUCUAGGGGGUUUCUUCAUUAUAUCUUUGUCAGGUGGAUUAAAUCCCAAAGCUGUUGCUGGGGGACCAUCAGUGACAAGAUUCACCCACAGAAGCUGAACAGGAAUCAGGCCUUCUGGAAUACCUAAAGCAGCUGUCAGAAAUAUAGAGGCAACCUCGCCAAUAUUUGAUGAAAUCAUGUACCUGACAUAUAGAGGAAGAGCAAAAAUAUAACCCACACAUACUACUGAGGAAACACUUCAAACAUGCAGAGAACUAAUAGUGUAGGAAUGGACCAAAUUUAGAACACUAGUAGAGUUGGAUCCAAUCAUCAGUAAAAUAUCAGCGUGGUGAAAGGUACAGGUUCCUGAGUGCCUAGCCAAGUAUUUACAUCAUGCAGAAAUGAAAUCACUCAAUUCAUCAUCAAGAUGUACUGGUUUGACAUUUAGAAGAAGGAACACUAAGUGGCUUCUGGUAUCCCUUCAUUUCUAACUCUCUCAAACGCAUGCAUGCAAGUGUGAAAGGCAAGACACUUAAAAGGGAGUUCUGUGCAGCCUAAUACCACAGAAAUAACAUAUUUUAGAAGAAAGGGCCUGUUUGAUAAUUCAUAAAUAAAUGGCCAAAGAUACAUAACUACAUGAAUAAGAACCAACUGUAACUUAAUACUAGUUUGAUAUAGUGCAAUCGUAGUCAUCAAAGAUCUAUAUUAUACAGGGAGGAAAAAAAACAAUACAUCUUAGAACCAUUCAGUAGAAUGCUUAUUUAUGUUAACACAUUUUAAAAGCGGAACAAAAGUAACUUCUUGUUUGAUAAUGUUGAUGGGAUAAAUCUCAUUAAAUAAAACUUUUGGAAUAAUGAUUCUCAGUGAACACUCUUCACAUUCUAGGUAAUUGUAUUAUAUGUCAAUUUUGUAAGCCUACCAGGUAGCUGAAUUUUCUUAUGCACAAAAGAAUCAAACCUGAUAAAAGCCUUCAUAUUGUUGUAAAUGGAUCUGCCUUCACCAACAGCAGCAACUAUUGUGUUAAAAUUAUCAUCUGCCAAGACCAUGUCAGAGGCUUCCUUUGCAACCUAAAUCAGUGCACAUAGGGGUUAGAAAACGAUAAACAAUGGACUAAGAAAAGAAUAUAGUUUUGAAUAACUUCAUCAUACCAAAAUUGGGGACUAGAUUAAGAGAAAUUGACUAAGAUCAUUCUGUCAAAUACAGUAAAGGGUAUGACUGACCAGUAAACAUAAGCAAUAUAAGCUGAUGGUUGUAAAAUGAAACAGAAAGCCAGAAAAUAAAACAAAAUUAAAAUAAAACUAGGUGGAGGCAGCAGAGAAGACCAAACAAACUAUGUAAGUAGAAAAUAUGGGCACAGAGUGGAAUGGUGACCAUAGCAGACUCUGAAGUGCACAGAUACAUGUAAAGUUAAGCUGGUAUACUAAUUUCAUCAAAUGCAUUUAAAAGCCGCAUACAUGCUUGUUCUCAUACUAGCACACCCAGGAAAUUUUCACAGCAAAACAACUCAUGAAAAAAACAAAAAAAGAAAAAACAAAUAUACAUGAUCCCAAAUAAAAUGCAUACGAAACUUUCUAAGAAGAAAUACCUCUGUCCCAGUAAUGCCCAUUGCAAUCCCAAUAUCAGCCAAUUUCAAGGCUGGUGCAUCAUUCACUCCAUCACCAGUCAUUGCAACCACCUCAUUAUCCUCUUUGAGCAACCUCACUAUUUCCUGCUUAUGCCUUGGUUCAGCCCUAGAGAACAGGAGGCCCCCAUUUUGCCUCAAAUGAGUUUUCUGAUCAUAAUGCUCCAUAAACUCUUUCCCCGUUAUGCUUUUUAAACUAAUGUCUUCCUUAGAUCCAAAAACUCCAAUUUCACGACAAAUAGCUUCUGCUGUAUUCUUGUUGUCACCUGUAAUAACCAUAACACGAAUUCCAGCUGCUCUACAGUCUUCAAUUGCUUGACGAACCUCUUUCCGUGGUGGAUCCUUUGAUAAUUUGGUAUUAAGUAAUGCAAUCAUUAGAAUUUUGAAUGGUUAUUAGAAAAAAAAAUCAAAAGCAAUUGAUAGAAAUAAAAUAUUGAACAAAAAAACAGCAACUUAACAUAAAGCUAACUCACCCUCAGCCCAACCAAACCAACAAAAAUGAGUUUACUUUCAAUUACAGAGUAAUUUGAUGGUCUAAGUAGAAGCUGAUGAGCUGGAUGGUCUUCAUCUCCAUUAUAUGUUGCAAACUCCAAAAGAUCUUCCUUGUAUGCAAAUCCCAAACAGCGUAAUGCACUUGUUGACAUUUGAUAAAGGCUUUGUAAAAUAAGAUCCCUUGAUUUUCUAUCAAGUUCUACAAUAGAACCAUCAAGCAACUGAAUAUAUGAGCUUCUUUCCAACACAUUUUCUACUGCACCCUGUCAUGUUGUAGCAAUUCAUAUUAAAAUGAAUGAUUUUACAAAAUGAGCAAGAAUGUGCAACAAAACUCAAAAGUAAUCACUGGAGAAUGAGAUGGAACAUGGAAAAAGUAGUGAGCAGGGGAAAAAAAGAAUCUGAUGUUAACAAGCAUCUGUUCAUCAAAAUUUAAUUUUUUAAACUAAUUCUCACAUGAUGGUAUCAAUGUUAUUGUAAUUGGAGCAAAAGGUAUGGGUGGUUUUCUUAAUACCAAUUACUCAUGAUCCACUUUACCUAAAGACCAAAAAUGUCUAAUAUAUAUUAUGAAUUUAUGACAAAAAAUGUAAACGGAAAGAAUGUACACACGGCUGAAUCUAGGAGACAAACAAACGGGAAACUACCUUCACUAGCAAUGCCUUUUUGCCUGAGCUGGAAUUCACAAUAACUCCCAUGGAUUUGCGAUCACGAUCGAAUUCAAGGGUUGCAAUUCGAUGUUCGAUUUUAUUCCAUAGUUGAGAACAACCUUAAAAUGCAUAAUGAUAUCACAAUAAAAAUGCAUUAACACCCAAGAGACAUGCUUAAGAAAAACAAAAACAAACAGAAAUAACAUAGCAACUUACGGAGUACAGCGCUAUUAUCCAAAGAUGAACCAUUAUCAAAUCCUUCAGGAAGUCCCAUUUUCUCAACCAGAACCUAGAAAGAGACACCACAAAAAAUAAAUAAACAGGUUUUCUGGAUAACAUAUGUGUAGUAACUUCGGCUAAUGUUUCAGUACCUUACUGAUAUAUUGCCCUCCAGAAGAAAUUUAUGGACCAGUAUAUCAUGAAUAUGACAAAGCAAAUAAAAGAACCUCAAGAAGAACAGAAAUUAGUGCUACCACCCGAGGAGCCCUGAUUUAGGUGCUCCUGAUGUGCAAAGAACUGGAACUCAACCUUCAAAUAUGUUGUUACCAAACGCUCAGAGGUUGAAUAACAUGAGGAAAAGUUUCAAUAUUAAGUUGUCUCAUAUGUGCUGUGUUAUUUUAUUUUUUAUUUAUUUUUUAUUUUUUGAUAGGCUUAAACAGAUUGACUGUCUAAUUAAAUAGAUGGUUUUGAUUUUUUUUUUUUCCCUUUUUAAAUAACAUAAAAUAGAUGGAUUUGAUUUGAAACCAGCAUGAAAGAAACAAUAAAUGAAAUAUUCCAAAAUUGUGGUUGUCUCACCUUCAAGGCUGCCUCAGUGGGCAUUCCAUUGGCAACAAAAUGUUGCCCAGAGUAUUCAACAUCAGCAUCAUUGCACACUGCUGCAAUCUUCGCAAUCAUUUGAAGAUUAGCAUCCAUCCGACCUGCAGGCCAGUCCAGUAUUCUUCCAUCAAAAGGACUAUAUGAGGUCCCUUCCACAUUGAAAUUUCGAACAGUGUACACCCUAGGGCCCAUAGCCACAAGCUUUGCAACUGCCAUUUGGUUGGUAGUCAAAGUGCCUGUUUUAUCAGAACAAAUUACAGUUGUACAACCAAGAGUUUCAACACUAGGUAACUUCCGAACAAGUGCAUUCUUCUGUGCCAUCUUUCUUGUUCCAAGCGCCAAACAAGUUGUGAUGACUGCUGGCAAACCUUCUGGAAUUGCAGCCACUGCUAACGCCACAGCAAUUUCAAAGUAAUAAGUGCACUUCUCAAAUGAGAAUUUAAAAUUCCUAGGCCACCCAUCAACAUACUCCCAAGUAAGGAAGUAUUUUACAUUAAUAAGCCAAACCAAUGCACAAAUUACUCCAAUUAUGGCAGUAAGAAGCUCUCCAAACUCAUUCAACUUCUUCUUCAAAGGUGUAUCUUCUUCACUCUGCGAGGCUUCAUGAAUUUGCAAAUGCACCUUCCCUAUCUCCGUAUUCAUUCCCGUCUCUGUAACCAAACAUAUACCAUUUCCAUUCACCACAGUUGUCCCUGCAAAAACCAUGCACUUCUUACCCUGAAUAUCUGAAUCCUCUGGCACAACCUUAGUUGUCUUAUUAACGGCUUCACUCUCUCCUGUUAAGGAUCCUUGCUCAACCCGAAGAGUCGAACUUAUCAAACUCAAAACCCGCAUAUCUGCAGGUACCUUAUCACCAACCCUUAAUUCAACAAUAUCUCCUGGAACAAGUUCUUUUGCCGGCAAAUUUGGAACCUUUUUACCAUCCCGAAUCACUGUUGCAUGCUCUGAUUGAAUUUCCUUAAGAGCCUCUAAUGCCUUCUCCGCAUUACUCUCCUGCCAAACCCCAACUAUAGCAUUCACAAUCAAGAUCAAAAAAAUCACCAAUGGUUCUACAAACGCAGUGAUUUCCAUUUCCCCACCCUCUUCGCCAUCGUACCAAGCCAAAACAAAUGAAAUAACUGCAGCAACCAACAGAAUCCUAACUAGAGUGUCAUUGAACUGAUCCAAAAUCAGUCUCAAAAUUGAAGGACCCUCAUGCUUCUCCAACUCGUUGUAACCAUAGAUCUCGCGCCGCUUUUCAACCUCAGCCGUUGACAAUCCGAAUUCGUGAUUCACCUGGAGCUUCUCUUCGCAUUCUUUAACAUUCUUCGCCCAUGCAGCGAAGAUUUCAACUGUGUUGGCAUCAUUAGGGUUUCUUUUCCCAUAGCCUUGCCCCCCUUUCCCCAUUGAAGCCGAAACUCCUAAAAAAAUAUUCUCUAAUCAAUUGAAGAUUAAAAUUGGGGGGAAAAAAAUCUCUGGAACUGAAAUCAAUGGAUCUCAAUAAAGUAAUAUCAUACCAGAAUAGUCUGAUUAUACAAAUCCACAAAAACCACAAACUGAAACCCUAAAAACAAAUUCCCCAGAGAAUUUGUCAAACAUCAAUCCACGAAAGUGCCAAGAAGACGCAGAAAAUGAAAACUGAACACUAUACUGUAAAAAUAGGAAACUUGUUAAUGAAGUUAGGGUUAGGAUUUGGAGCACCAGAUUUGGAAAGCUUCGCAGCGGGGGAAGAAAAGCUAUGGCGUAGGCGGAUUGCUGACUGAUGAAAGUUUCCAAAUCUAGAGAGAGAAUCCCAAGAGAACCUCUCUCUAGAAGCUACUUCCAACGUACCGUAGUCCACGAAUCUUCAGCCAAUGAUUCCACGCCACGUAAUAAAAUCAAUCCAGAUCUUGACCUUGUACGGUGGCUCAUGGUGGUCGCGCAGUUGCUAAGGCAGCCAUGGCCUACGUGGCGUUCAUCGAGUGGUGAGUCUCUUCGCAGCCUUUCACAUCAAAUUACCUUAUUGAUUUUAACGUAGUACGAAACUCCUCGCUUAUUCCCUUGCUAACACGCAAGGUCAGAUGGGUUAGGUUCCAAUUUUUAUUUGUAUCAUCUCAUUAUUUACGUAGAAAACCAGUCGUUUUCAUUACUUGAUGACGCAAAAUCACUAGCUGCUGUGUAGUAUGCAUUUUAUUUUUACUAUAUAUCAAAUAAAUAAAAAUAGUUUUUAAAUUAUUUAUUUAAUUUUAAAUAUUCAUAUUCCAUGAUUCAUAAUAUUAAAAACGUAUUUCAUAUUUUCGAAAAUAGUUUUAAAAAAAUUAAUAUUAUUUAAUAUUUUAUAAAAUAAAAAAUUUAUUUGAAAAUCUAAAAAUAUGUUUGAUUAUAUAUAUAUUUCAUUUAAAAAUAAUUUUAAAAGUAAGUUUUAGAAAAUACAGAAAACGAAUUAAUUUUUUUUAAAAAAGUAAAAACCAUUUUUACUUAUUCAUUAAAAUUAUUUUUUAUUUCAUUAUGCUUUAAAAAUUUGUUUCAAAAAAUAACGAUAAAAUAAUAUUAGAAAAUUUUAAAAAUAGUUUUUUAUUUUUAAAAAUAUAAAAAUAUUUUUAAAUUACACGUUAAAUAGACUUUAAAAUGUUUUAAUAUUUUUUAAAAUAAAAUUUGUGUUUAAUGUUUUAUUUUUUAUUAUGUUUGUAUAAUUAUUGAAGAAUGGGCGUCCCAAAACGAAAAAUGUCGGUAUUGCAAUUAUUGAAUCAUCUCAUUCCAACAGAAAUCUAUGUGAAUCCCACCGUCCCAUCACUGUCACCACCAAACCAACCCAUUCCCAUCCCAUCCCACUUUCACUUUUCCCUCUUCUUGGUCAUAAUUUGAUUCAUUACUUGAUCUUUAAAUUUACAUAACAUAAAUGCAUUUAUUUAAAAAAAAUCAUAUAAUUUGUAACUAUAAGUUUAAACAUUAAUAUUUUCUAUUUUUAAAAUAAAUAAUAAUAAUUUUUAUAUAGUAAGAACUCUUAAGAUUUGCAUGGAAAGUGCAAUAAUUUUAAUAUUUAUUUUAAAAAAUUAUUAUUUCAAAUUUUAAAAAUUUUGAAAAUUAUUUUUAAAGGUAUUUUUUUAUUUUGAAAACAAAAAAUGAAAAUAUAAAUAAACAAACACAUAAUCUAUUUUAAACUCAAAUAUUUAUGAUACAAAUAUUUUUAAAAUGGUAAUUAGAACCUUUCCUUGAGGUGGUAGCUUUUUCGGUAUGAUUUAGUGUUUGAAACAUGGGAAAGUAUAAUAGAAACAAUUUUUUUUUCUAUUCCUAUUUCUUCUCUGAUAGGAAUGAAUUUAUUCUAAUUCUUGUAUUUAGAGGCAUAUAGAAAAUGUAGAGUUGGAUAAUCAUUUAUUUCCAUUUCAAUUGUAAGUGACAAUAGGGAUGAUAAUGAAAAAAAAUAAAAAAUAAAAAAUAAUAUAUGUACAUAUUAUUUAAAAUAAUAUAUUUUAUUUCUAUUUAUGCAUAGUUUAAAAUAAAAUUUUAUUUUCAUAAAAAAAAUAUUUGAGAGUUUUUUUUUGUUAAAUAAUAAAAACCAUAUUUGAGCCUUUGAUUUAAAAACAAAAUUGUUUUUAAAAAUUAAUACCACUAUUUAACUGUUGUUCUUGAGGAAUAAAUUUCAAAAAUAAAAUAAUAAGUUUAAUAAUUUUUAAAAUUAUUAUUGAUCAUUAUUAAUUUUAAAUUAUUAUUAUUUACAAUAAAUAAAUUUAUAAGAUGUUAAUAUCUAUAUAUUUUUGUAGUGUUUAUAUCCUAACAUUACUAUAUUAUGUUUUAUUAAAAAAUAAUUAUUUUUACAUUUAUCUGUAAUACAAAAUUAGUUUAAAUUUAAUAAGACUUUAGUUAAAUUUAUUAUAUAUUAUAUAAAUUUAAUUUAUAAUAUAUUUUAUAUAAAAUCAAAAUAAAAAAAUAUUUUAAAAAAUAAUUUAUUCAAAUUUUUUUUUUUUUUGAAAAUAACCUACAUAAUCAAAAUACCUUCUCCUCCAACUUAGAAUGAAUUGAAAUCUUACUUAUAGAUAAAAUUCAUUUCCAUUAUCAUGGUAUAUGGGAAUGAGAAUGAAUAUUUUCUUUUCAUUCCUAUUACUCUUUGAAUUUGAAUUGAUUUGAUAAUUCCAAUUCAUAUUUUUUGAUGUAUUUAGAAAUGUAAGGUUAUAAUGAUUAUUUGUUUUUAUUUCAAUAUUAAAAUAUUUAUUUUCAUUAGAAAAAAAAAACCUCCCACCCAGUGCUUAAUUUAAAAAAAAAAAAAUGUGUAUGAUUUAAAAACAAAUUUGUUUUAAAAAUUUAUACCACUUUGGGAAACAAUUUUUAAAAACAAAAUAAGAAGUUUUGUAUUUUUUAUAAAUAAUUUGAAACAAAAAAAAAAUAUAUGUAUAUAAUAACUACAAAAAUUAAUAGACAUAAUUAAUUUUUUAAUAUCUUUAAUGAAUCUUAUUAAAUAAUUUUUUUAUAGAUUAAAUAAAAAAUAGAAUAUUACAUCCUUAAUUGAGUAGUAAAGAUACGGGUGUAAUGAAAAAUUGACUUAUUUAUAACUUAAAAAUUAAACUUGAUUUGUUUUUAAAUUCAUUUAAAAUAGAAUAAUAUCAACAAUUAUUAAAUUUAAAUUGUUAUUAUUUAUUUAAAAAUAAAUAAAUCAAUUAUGCUUUAAUAAGAUAUUAAUAUCCAUAUUUUGAUAAUAUGGAUAAAAAUAUAAUUUAUGAGUUUAUUAUAAUAUUAAUAUUCAUAUUUUAUUAAAAACUAUUUAUUUAUAAUCACAUAAUUAUUUUUAUUUUAAUGGGAAUUGAAUUAUUAUUUUUAUUAUUUUUAUUAUAUAAAUGGAAUUUAUAAUUUUUUUUGACAAAAUCUAAAUAAAAAAUAUUUAUCUAGAAAAGUUUUUGAUUUUUAAUUUUUGAAAAGUGUUUUUAAGAAUAAGUUGCACCAAGGAAUGAAAAUAUUUUAUUCAAACAUAAGAAUGGAUGAGAAAAGGAAUGAAUGAGAUGUCUUUCCCAUUUCCCAUUCCCGUAUACUUAUUCAAAUGUGGAAAUGAAAUGAGAUGUGUAUUUGUAAUAGACAAGAGGCAACCAGCUCCACGGACGUGGGCAUGUCCUCCACUUUUUCAUGGGGGCCCUUCGUUCACAUGGGCCCUCUAAUUUAAUCUUGGGCCCUCCACCCAGACCUAAUCUUAGCUCACAUGGGCUUGAAGCCUUUGAUCAAUUCUCCAAAUUUAAGGGCAUGAGCCAGGAGGAGGAGAAGGUUGAGUCUUAGUGGGUAAUGUUUUGUCGUUUUUAUGAAAUAAAAAAGCAUGACUUAAAGCUUAAGGUUGCAAUCCUAAUGCCAAUUUGGUGGGUUUCUAGCAAUUGCCAUCCAUGAAUCGGGCCUUACUUUCAUUUUCCCUAAACUCGACUUGUCUGGAAGAAGAAUGUCGAGGCUUUCAAUGGAGAAGAUAUCGGGUCAUAAUGAUAUCCAUAAUAAAUUCGAUGAUGAUUUAUUGAAGCAAUAAGAAUGGAUUUAUUUUUAUAAAAUAUUAAUUGAUUUUCAGGUAUCAAAAUCGAAUAAAGAAUUGAUAUCAAAGCCAAAAAUUAUGGAUUCGGGCGAGGGGAGGGUCGUCCACCGCCCUCUCGAAGAUGUCAUCACGGCAUCAACCCAUGGAUCAAGAUCAGUUGACGUUUCUACAAAGACUUGAUCCUGAUUGGUGCGUGCAUCUCACUUGCCCUGAUUGAAACGUGGGGUUCACUUCUAUAUCAAGCCAAAUCAUCGCACAGUCCCGUUCAGGCACGCUAUAGGCCUACAGCACAACCAAAAUCCAAAUCAUAUAAAACGACGCCGUUUCCUUCCCUCACAUACGCCAUAUACUAGUAUGCACACUUUUCUUUCAGAAUAAGCUCUGUUUCAACUUUCUGCCAACAGAGCAGAACCCAUCCCGGAGUCUGACCCACUCGCCGGAAACUAUGUCCUCCACCUGCAUAUCCAGGUGCGGCACCGAUGCUCGAAACCCAGUUCGAGCCACCUAUCUCAACGUAUACAAGUGGCCGGAGUCUGACGCGGCGUUCCUGAGAUCAGUGGGGUCCAAGCCUCAUCCAAGGGUGGUGGAUAGCAUUUCUUGCCGGCAAUUGUAUCUGAGAAGCUACACUUUCUCGAGAAAAGAGACUGUUCCCCAGAAGACCAAGAAGUGUUUUGGAAGAGUGAGAGAGAGAGUAGCACUCCACAGAAAAAAGAGAAAGUGUCGUGGUGUCCGGAGGCGGUGCACGGUGCUGAGGAGGGCGAAGGAGUUAACUUGCUCCGCUUUUUUGUCCAUCUUCCGCCGCUUGCUUUCUUGCACGACCAAAGUUGAUGUGGUGGACCGAUUGUAGGGGGCGCCUGAUGAAUUUUUCUCGGUUUUAUUUAUCAUAAAGGUUUUUCUUUUCGAUGGCGCUUUCUUCUUUUCUGUUUGGGGACUGGGAAAGUUGUGGGUCAAAUGGAAAAAGCGGAGAAAACGUACUCUUUGGAGACCACAUUUUUCCCCCUUAUUUUUCUUCUGGAAUCAGAAAAUUUAUGUAAUUUUAUUUCUCUGUUCUUACUUUGAUCGCACAAGCCAAUGAAUCUACGGAAAUUUUAGUGUUAAUUCUUCCUCAGAAACACUGGAAAAUGAGUUUUUAGUUUUAUUUUCGAUGACAUUUUGUUUUCUGUUUGGCAACUCAGAAAUUUUGAUUUGAAUUCCCCAUCAAAGCAAUGCUAAAGGCUCGUUUGGACUUAACACUGAUUAUGAUUUUAAUUUUUUGGGUUUCGUCGUGACAGUGAUGAAGCAGGCUAGCCAACGGAUGUGUUGACUUUUAGAGUUGAAUCAGCCCAAUAGUAUUAUUCCACGGUUGGGAUCUUAAGCCAAUGAAUACGAAUUUCCAAAACUUCGAAGAACAUGGGUGUGACCAAAAUCCAUAAUUUAUUUGAAAUAUUAGAUUUAAUUUGAAAAAAAAAAAGUCAAAAAUAGAGCUGACAAUGACAUAAAGCUAGCAAAGCAUCCU